RNAcentral lists this ribosomal RNA (252 nucleotides) under uncultured bacterium. RNAcentral's name for it is "partial 16S ribosomal RNA". It matches the Rfam family "Bacterial small subunit ribosomal RNA", at positions 524 to 776 of the family's 1533-position model. The record is from RNAcentral.
UACGUAGGUCCCGAGCGUUGUCCGGAUUUAUUGGGCGUAAAGCGAGCGCAGGUGGUUUAUUAAGUCUGGUGUAAAAGGCAGUGGCUCAACCAUUGUAUGCAUUGGAAACUGGUAGACUUGAGUGCAGGAGAGGAGAGUGGAAUUCCAUGUGUAGCGGUGAAAUGCGUAGAUAUAUGGAGGAACACCGGUGGCGAAAGCGGCUCUCUGGCCUGUAACUGACACUGAGGCUCGAAAGCGUGGGGAACGAACAGG